This 339-nucleotide ribosomal RNA is filed under the name Triticum aestivum (bread wheat). Its description in RNAcentral is "partial small subunit ribosomal RNA". Lineage: Eukaryota; Viridiplantae; Streptophyta; Magnoliopsida; Poales; Poaceae. The record is from RNAcentral.
AUGCGUGUAAGAAUCUUUUCUACUAGUAGUAUAUUUCCUUUGUACUCCACAGCCGUGCAAACUAGAGAAAAGAAAACUGAAAAAGAUGGAUGGAUGGAUGGAUUUUACAAUGGCGAUCUUGGUCAAAUCGAAUCAUUCAUUCCCCACUCGCCGUGCACAUCAACAACGGCCCGUUCUUUCCGCGAGCGCCGACGGCGGCAACAGCGGCAGGGGAGCGCGCCGUCUCGCUUUCGCACCGGUGGGCCGUGCCGACUUGCAAACAGUGUGUUCUUCUGUUCAACUUCUGACCAAAACUUCUCUGUUUUUUGUUUUUGUUUGUUUGGAUGGACGGAUAUGUGA